GCCUUCUUAGCUUAGUUGGUAGAGCACCCGCUUAGUAAGUGGGAGGUCGUCGGU
Perkinsus marinus ATCC 50983 is the source of this 54-nucleotide non-coding RNA. The record is from Rfam. NCBI's taxonomy places the organism in Eukaryota, Perkinsozoa, Perkinsida, Perkinsidae.